CACUUUCGCUUGCUGCCGGGAGAGGAGUGGGUGUGCUUUCCAAGCCGGGCGCCUUCAUCAAAACAACUACAACUGUGCCAUGCAGAGGGAGCAGCUUGCACCUACACUGCAGUGGAGCUCCAAGGUUAGCAGAAGAGUUGUGAUAGGAGAAGAAAUGCCAGAAGAAUGGAGCCCAUAUGAGCUAUUUGCUCACGUUUCUUGGCAGGUUUCACAGUGGUCAACUCUGUGCUGGUAAUGCUAUGCUAAUAUCAGUACCAGAGCAAGCUCAUUUGAAGAUGGGUCACCUGUACCUCAACAAGACGUACUCACACCUUUCUCAAAAAGAAAAUCCUGUUGACAGAGGCUUCACAAGAUCUUAGUGCUUUGAGGGAUGUAUGAGGGAUGGGAUUCAAUUCAAGAUGUAAGUGUCAAAAUUGAGGUGUUUUGAUAAAUAAAAUAAAAUAAAGGCAUAUGAAAUUCCCACUAUAA
Molecule: long non-coding RNA, 468 nt
Organism: Gallus gallus (chicken)
Lineage: Eukaryota; Metazoa; Chordata; Aves; Galliformes; Phasianidae
Exons: 2
Source: RefSeq, a predicted model, not a curated record